CUUGAACACUUUGAUAUCUAACCAUGACCCCUUAUCGGGGUUUGGGACCCUGUAUGGUGGGUAGUUUGACUGGGGCGGUCGCCUCCUAAAGAGUAACGGAGGCGCGCGAUGGUGAGCUCAGGCUGGUCGGAAAUCAGCUUAGAGAGUGCAAUGGCAUAAGCUCGCCUGACUGCGACACCGACAGGUGGAGCAGAGACGAAAGUCGGUCA
This 209-nucleotide ribosomal RNA is filed under the name Alexandrium margalefii. Its description in RNAcentral is "partial Bacterial large subunit ribosomal RNA". It matches the Rfam family "Bacterial large subunit ribosomal RNA", at positions 2205 to 2412 of the family's 2925-position model. Lineage: Eukaryota; Dinophyceae; Gonyaulacales; Pyrocystaceae. The record is from RNAcentral.